This 200-nucleotide ribosomal RNA is filed under the name uncultured bacterium. Its description in RNAcentral is "partial 16S ribosomal RNA". It matches the Rfam family "Bacterial small subunit ribosomal RNA", at positions 29 to 258 of the family's 1533-position model. The record is from RNAcentral.
AACGAACGCUGGCGGCAGGCUUAACACAUGCAAGUCGAACGCCCCGCAAGGGGAGUGGCAGACGGGUGAGUAACGCGUGGGAAUCUACCUAGUUCUACGGAACAACAGUUGGAAACGACUGCUAAUACCGUAUACGCCCUACGGGGGAAAGAUUUAUCGGAAUUAGAUGAGCCCGCGCAAGAUUAGCUAGUUGGUGAGGU